RNAcentral lists this ribosomal RNA (458 nucleotides) under uncultured Rhodoferax sp. Its description in RNAcentral is "bacterial SSU rRNA". It matches the Rfam family "Bacterial small subunit ribosomal RNA", at positions 923 to 1382 of the family's 1533-position model. The record is from RNAcentral. Lineage: Bacteria; Pseudomonadati; Pseudomonadota; Betaproteobacteria; Burkholderiales; Comamonadaceae.
GCACAAGCGGUGGAUGAUGUGGUUUAAUUCGAUGCAACGCGAAAACCUUACCCACCUUUGACAUGUACGGAAUCCUUUAGAGAUAGAGGAGUGCUCGAAAGAGAGCCGCAACACAGGUGCUGCAUGGCUGUCGUCAGCUCGUGUCGUGAGAUGUUGGGUUAAGUCCCGCAACGAGCGCAACCCUUGUCAUUAGUUGCUACAUUCAGUUGGGCACUCUAAUGAGACUGCCGGUGACAAACCGGAGGAAGGUGGGGAUGACGUCAAGUCCUCAUGGCCCUUAUGGGUAGGGCUUCACACGUCAUACAAUGGUCGGUACAGAGGGUUGCCAAGCCGCGAGGCGGAGCCAAUCCCACAAAGCCGAUCGUAGUCCGGAUUGUUCUCUGCAACUCGAGAGCAUGAAGUCGGAAUCGCUAGUAAUCGCAGGUCAGCAUACUGCGGUGAAUACGUUCCCGGGUCUU